CAAAAGACAAUGAUGGAGAAGCAGUAGCCGUUCAUGGUUACAAUCAGAGAGAAGUCCGGCAGGUGAAAGGGCUUUAGUACAUGAAUUGGCGAAUUACACUCCGGAGUUUCAUACGUGAAACUUAUUCAUGUAUGACGGGAGACCAACCGUUAUAUUGGCAGUAAUUAAUGAGGUAUAUAUUUUAAAAUAUAUACAAAUUAAGGUGGUACCACGGGAGCUUUCUCGUCCUUAAG
Molecule: non-coding RNA, 233 nt
Filed under: Acetivibrio straminisolvens
Lineage: Bacteria; Bacillati; Bacillota; Clostridia; Acetivibrionales; Acetivibrionaceae
Description: Clostridium straminisolvens T-box sequence
Rfam family: T-box leader
About the family: Uncharged tRNA acts as the effector for transcription antitermination of genes in the T-box leader family. T-boxes are found upstream of many aminoacyl-tRNA synthetase genes and some amino acid biosynthetic genes usually in Gram-positive bacteria.
Source: RNAcentral